Molecule: ribosomal RNA, 465 nt
Filed under: uncultured bacterium
Lineage: Bacteria
Description: partial 16S ribosomal RNA
Rfam family: Bacterial small subunit ribosomal RNA
Source: RNAcentral
CUACGGGAUGCUGCAGUGGGGAAUAUUGCACAAUGGGCGCAAGCCUGAUGCAGCCAUGCCGCGUGUAUGAAGAAGGCCUUCGGGUUGUAAAGUACUUUCAGCGGGGAGGAAGGGAGUAAAGUUAAUACCUUUGCUCAUUGACGUUACCCGCAGAAGAAGCACCGGCCAACUCCGUGCCAGCAGCCGCGGUGAAUACGGAGGGUGCAAGCGUUAAUCGGAAUUACUGGGCGUAAAGCGCACGCAGGCGGUUUGUUAAGUCAGAUGUGAAAUCCCCGGGCUCAACCUGGGAACUGCAUCUGAUACUGGCAAGCUUGAGUCUCGUAGAGGGGGGUAGAAUUCCAGGUGUAGCGGUGAAAUGCGUAGAGAUCUGGAGGAAUACCGGUGGCGAAGGCGGCCCCCUGGACGAAGACUGACGCUCAGGUGCGAAAGCGUGGGGAGCAAACAGGAUUAGAUACCCCUGUAGUC